RNAcentral lists this ribosomal RNA (468 nucleotides) under uncultured bacterium. RNAcentral's name for it is "partial 16S ribosomal RNA". It matches the Rfam family "Bacterial small subunit ribosomal RNA", at positions 28 to 507 of the family's 1533-position model. The record is from RNAcentral.
GACGAACGCUGGCGGCGUGCUUAACACAUGCAAGUCGAGCGGAAAGGCGCUACUCUUGUUUGGUUCUCGAUUGGCGAACGGGUGAGUAACACGUGAGUAACCUGCACCUAACUUUGGGAUAACUUCAGGGAACUCCGGCUAAUACCGGAUAGAAGCUCCUGCUGCAUGGUGUGGGUUGGAAAGUUACGGCGGUUGGGGAUGGAUUCGCGGCAUAUCAGCUGGAUGGUGAAGUAGGGACUUACCAAGGCUUUGACGGGUAGCCGGCCUGAGAGGGUGACCGGCCACAUGGCGACUGAGGUACGGCCCAGACUCCUACGGGAGGCAGCAGUGGAGAAUAUUGCACAGUAGGCGGAAGCCUGAUGCAGCAACGUCGCGUGCGGGAUGACGGCCUUCGAGUUGUAAACCGCUUUCGCCUGUGACGAAGCGUGAGUGACGGUAAUGGGUAAAGAAGCACCGGCUAACUACGUG